UGGUGGAGUGAUUUGUCUGGUUAAUUCCGAUAACGAACGAGAUCGCAUCCUACUAAAUAGUGGUCCUAACCGUCUAUAUGGGUGAAGCUAGUUGGCGCUGUGGGCUGGGAAACUGGCUCUGUAGCCUUUCGAGUGGAUCCUUGAUGUAUUGGGACCGAAUUACUUCUUAGAGGGACUGUCGGCGAUUAGCCGAAGGAAGUGCGGCAAUAACA
RNAcentral lists this ribosomal RNA (212 nucleotides) under uncultured eukaryote. RNAcentral describes it as "partial 18S ribosomal RNA". It matches the Rfam family "Eukaryotic small subunit ribosomal RNA", at positions 1299 to 1458 of the family's 1831-position model. The record is from RNAcentral.